GUACAGAAAUAUUAUGAAUGAUUUGAGCAGGAGGACUGUGUGUCCCAGACUAUAAAGAAAAGCAAGCUUGUUUUCUACCUGCUUCCUCUUUUUGCUUUCUCCUGCUCCCACCAGCCCUACUCUUUUUUCCGAAUUAAGACUCCACAGAACCUGCCUUUUAUUUCCCCUUUGCAAAGCUACUGUUACAUCAUUAUAAAAGGGACAUUCCCUCUUUUUCCAGAAAUAUUCCUAAGAAAAGAAAAACAGCCUGUUAUAUAAGAGUGUCUGAAAAAACUAGAACUUUCACUCAAGGUAUUCAUACAAACCAACAUUUCCUGACUGAAUGCAAAUAGGACACUUCUUUGAAAUGAGGAGCGACAAAUUUUUAACCUUUCUAGAAUUCAUGACAGAAUACUGUUUUUUUUUUUUUUUUAACGCUGUCUCCAUUGAAAGUCAGUUACUGAAUGGUAGGACACAAUUCUUAUGAAUUUUGUAGAAAGACAAAUAAUAUUCUCAUCUACAACUGUGUGAAGAAAAAUAGAAAAAUACUUGCCAUGUGUUAAAUCCUUACACUAUGGAGAAUACUAUGCAAACUGCUUUCAACUGCCUGCGUUCAUUUAAGAAUCACAACAACUAUGGAUGGCAGCAAAAUUCAGAAGGCUUAGACUACCACUGUCCUCCACAAGGUGCUCCAGCAGAUUGUCACCUUAUUCAACACAAGAGGUUGGUUGGAAUGAAACUGGCCUGGAGAAAUUAUUCACUGAAUUUUUAUCAGCAUUGGGAAGUCCUGGAGCCCUGCUUGUUGAAUGAGUUAGGGGUGGAAGGGCUCUCUCAGGCCAUGACAACUCCCUAAUGCUGUGAAGAGCUACUUCCAAGGAAUCAGUCUCUAUCUGGAAAAGAAAGAAGAGAGCCUCUGUACAUGGGAAGUUGGAGCAAGAAAUCAUGAGAUCCUUCUUUUUUUCAUCAAACUUGCAAGUAAGAUUAAUAGCUUAGGAACAGACUUGUGUCUUCAUGAAAUGAUUACUAUAGACACUCUUCAUUAUAUUCCCAUAUGUUUAGUUAUUUUAAAAGACUAUCUUUUCUGCCUGCAUAAUGAAAUGAUUGAAUCAAAUUUGUCACAAUACUUGUUGGUAAUGUCAAGCAACUGUAUGAUAAAGCAUCCAGUUCUUAGGGGCAUUAGCUCACCAUGGAUGAUAUUAUUAAUUUACCCAUGUACUUAAUUAUUGAUUCUACUACAUUUAUUGUAUUCAGUAUUUUUGCUUGUAUGAAAUGUUCACUUUUAACACUGUGCUAAUUACAUUAAAAAGUGUUCACUUUAUG
RNAcentral lists this long non-coding RNA (1299 nucleotides) under Homo sapiens (human). RNAcentral describes it as "HSALNT0147318". The record is from RNAcentral. Lineage: Eukaryota; Metazoa; Chordata; Mammalia; Primates; Hominidae.